ACGAAGGGAGCUAGCGUUGUUCGGAAUUACUGGGCGUAAAGGGCGCGUAGGCGGUUCUGCAAGUUGGAUGUGAAAGCCCAGGGCUCAACCCUGGAAUUGCAUUCAAGACUGCAUUACUUGAAUUCGGUAGAGGUGAGUGGAAUUCCCAGUGUAGAGGUGAAAUUCGUAGAGAUUGGGAAGAACACCGGUGGCGAAGGCGGCUCACUGGACCGACAUUGACGCUGAGGCGCGAAAGCGUGGGGAUCAAACAGGA
This 253-nucleotide ribosomal RNA is filed under the name uncultured prokaryote. RNAcentral's name for it is "partial 16S ribosomal RNA". It matches the Rfam family "Bacterial small subunit ribosomal RNA", at positions 525 to 777 of the family's 1533-position model. The record is from RNAcentral.